Molecule: non-coding RNA, 93 nt
Organism: Apis mellifera (honey bee)
Lineage: Eukaryota; Metazoa; Arthropoda; Insecta; Hymenoptera; Apidae
Source: RefSeq, marked provisional
CGAAUUGGAGGAUCGAUAUAUGGAAUGGAAGAGGACGUUUCCGCGAGUAAGACGAGGAAACAUCUUUUCUUUCGCACAAUUUGAUCGACAGUG